Molecule: ribosomal RNA, 429 nt
Filed under: uncultured Ruminococcus sp.
Lineage: Bacteria; Bacillati; Bacillota; Clostridia; Eubacteriales; Oscillospiraceae
Description: bacterial SSU rRNA
Rfam family: Bacterial small subunit ribosomal RNA
Source: RNAcentral
UGGGGGAGUAUUGCGGCAAUGGGGGGCGAACCCUCGACGCAGCAACGCCGCGUGAAGGAUGAAGGUUUUCGGUAUUGUAAACUUCUUUUAUUAAGGACGAAUAAUGACGGUACUUAAUGAAUAAGCUCCGGCUAACUACGUGCCAGCAGCCGCGGUAAUACGUAGGGAGCAAGCGUUGUCCGGAUUUACUGGGUGUAAAGGGUGCGUAGGCGGCUAAGCAAGUCAGAUGUGAAAUCCGUGGGCUCAACCCACGAACUGCAUUUGAAACUGUGGAUCUUGAGUAUCGGAGAGGUAAUCGGAAUUCCUAGUGUAGCGGUGAAAUGCGUAGAUAUUAGGAAGAACACCAGUGGCGAAGGCGGAUUACUGGACGACAACUGACGGUGAGGCGCGAAAGCGUGGGGAGCAAACAGGAUUAGAUACCCUGGUAGU